Molecule: long non-coding RNA, 1054 nt
Organism: Peromyscus maniculatus bairdii (prairie deer mouse)
Lineage: Eukaryota; Metazoa; Chordata; Mammalia; Rodentia; Cricetidae
Source: RefSeq, a predicted model, not a curated record
AUCACGCAGGCAACUACAGAAGCGUACUACCGCAACAGGGAUCUGACUAAGAAGUUUCUGAUCUUCAUUACCGUCACUGUUCGGUUUUGAGGUGACUAUUUAGGAGCUGUUGUUGCCGGGCAGCUGAACUGGAGGCCCCGCAGGGUCCUCCGCUGGUAGGGAUCUUGCCUCUAAAGUUUGAGUUGCGGCUUCCCUGCCGCCGGUAUCCUUCCACCGCGGAGUCCUGAGAUCUCAGCCAGCUCUCGCUGAGUCAUAUUCCUGUCGCUCAUAAGCCCUUCUUGUGGAACGAGAAGGCGGGGACCACCGGGAACCCAGUCACGCAGAGAUCUCAUGCUCCCUAUUGCCUGGCACUCGCUACUAAACGCUCCUCUGCUCCUCACCAGCCCGGUGCAGAGCUGUAGGCCGAACUUUCCCAAGUGGACACGGGACUGAAAUGUGAACGCGGACCUUGUGGCCACGAUUCCACUUGGGAGGUUCAGCUUCCAUGUCUGGGACGCUACAGGGGCGUGGGUGGUUCGCGUCACAGAGGAGUAUUCCAUAGUGUCCUGCAGGAUCUGUAACGCCAGCCAUGAGGAAAGAGCCUGUGCCUCCUGUCACCCUCCUGUGUCCCAGCGCUAAAGUGGCUGUACAAGUCUGCUCUCCCACCAGCAAUGGAGGAGUGUUCCCCUUGCUCCACAUCCUCAGCUGCCACUUGUUUAUUUGAUCUCAGCAACUCUGAGACAAAAUACCAUGACCAAAAGCAACUUAAGAAAGUUUCUUGGAGCUUAUAGUUCCAGAGGGAUAAAGUCCAUCAUGGCAAGGAAGGCAUGAAAUGGCAGCAGGAGCUGAAAACAGAUCAUAUUUCAUCUGCACACAGGAAAUAGAGGAUAAAGAAAACAAACAAGCCUGUUGCGGUAACGCCCGUGUCACCGCUAACCGUUCACCACGUCUGAGCGAAGGGCUGCGGAUUAAAAAAUAGAGACAAGAGACAGCGGGUCAUUCGUACGAUUGGAUGUCGAAUGCCGUUUAUUGAAAGAGGGGAGAAACCUUAAAUACGUACAGGCUUACAGCACAA